GCCAUCAUUCAGUUGGGCACUCUAGCGAGACUGCCGGUAAUAAACCGGAGGAAGGUGGGGAGUGACGUCAAAUCAUCAUGCCCCUUACUGACCUGGGCGUACACACGUGCUACAAUGGUUGGUACAACGAGUUGCGAGUCGGUGACGGCGAGCUAAUCUCUUAAAGCCAAUCUCAGUUCGGAUUGUAGGCUGCAACUCGCCUACAUGAAGUCGGAAUCGCUAGUAAUCGCGGAUCAGCACGCCGCGGUGAAUACGUUCCCGGGCCUU
Molecule: ribosomal RNA, 267 nt
Filed under: uncultured Streptococcus sp.
Lineage: Bacteria; Bacillati; Bacillota; Bacilli; Lactobacillales; Streptococcaceae
Description: partial 16S ribosomal RNA
Rfam family: Bacterial small subunit ribosomal RNA
Source: RNAcentral